GACGAACGCUGGCGGCGUGCUUAACACAUGCAAGUCGAACGGAAAGGCCCUGCUUUUGUGGGGUGCUCGAGUGGCGAACGGGUGAGUAACACGUGAGUAACCUGCCCUUGACUUUGGGAUAACUUCAGGAAACUGGGGCUAAUACCGGAUAGGAGCUCCUGCUGCAUGGUGGGGGUUGGAAAGUUUCGGCGGUUGGGGAUGGACUCGCGGCUUAUCAGCUUGUUGGUGGGGUAGUGGCUUACCAAGGCUUUGACGGGUAGCCGGCCUGAGGGGGUGACCGGCCACAUUGGGACUGAGAUACGGCCCAGACUCCUACGGGAGGCAGCUGUGGGGAAUAUUGCACAAUGGGCGGAAGCCUGAUGCAGCAACGCCGCGUGCGGGAUGACGGCCUUCGGGUUGUAAACCGCUUUCGCCUGUGACGAAGCGUGAGUGACGGUAAUGGGUAAAGAAGCACCGGCUAACUACGUGCCAGCAGCCGCGGUGAUACGUAGGGUGCGAGCGUUGUCCGGAUUUAUUGGGCGUAAAGGGCUCGUAGGUGGUUGAUCGCGUCGGAAGUGUAAUCUUGGGGCUUAACCCUGAGCGUGCUUUCGAUACGGGUUGACUUGAGGAAGGUAGGGGAGAAUGGAAUUCCUGGUGGAGCGGUGGAAUGCGCAGAUAUCAGGAGGAACACCAGUGGCGAAGGCGGUUCUCUGGGCCUUUCCUGACGCUGAGGAGCGAAAGCGUGGGGAGCGAACAGGCUUAGAUACCCUGGUAGUCCACGCUGUAAACGGUGGGUACUAGGUGUGGGGUCCAUUCCACGGGUUCCGUGCCGUAGCUAACGCUUUAAGUACCCCGCCUGGGGAGUACGGCCGCAAGGCUAAAACUCAAAGGAAUUGACGGGGCCCCGCACAAGCGGCGGAGCAUGCGGAUUAAUUCGAUGCAACGCGUAGAACCUUACCUGGGUUUGACAUGGAUCGGGAGUGCUCAGAGAUGGGUGUGCCUCUUUUGGGGUCGGUUCACAGGUGGUGCAUGCCUGUCGUCAGCUCGUGUCGUGAGAUGUUGGGUUAAGUCCCGCAACGAGCGCAACCCUUGUUCACUGUUGCCAGCACGUUAUGGUGGGGACUCAGUGGAGACCGCCGGGGUCAACUCGGAGGAAGGUGGGGAUGACGUCAAGUCAUCAUGCCCCUUAUGUCCAGGGCUUCACGCAUGCUACAAUGGCUGGUACAGAGAGUGGCGAGCCUGUGAGGGUGAGCGAAUCUCGGAAAGCCGGUCUCAGUUCGGAUUGGGGUCUGCAACUCGACCUCAUGAAGUCGGAGUCGCUAGUAAUCGCAGAUCAGCAACGCUGCGGUGAAUACGUUCCCGGG
RNAcentral lists this ribosomal RNA (1343 nucleotides) under uncultured bacterium. Its description in RNAcentral is "16S ribosomal RNA". It matches the Rfam family "Bacterial small subunit ribosomal RNA", at positions 28 to 1378 of the family's 1533-position model. The record is from RNAcentral.